CAUGUGGCUUAAUUCGAGGCAACGCGAAGAACCUUACCUGGGCUUGACAUGUUCAGGACCGUCCGUGAAAGCGGACUUCCCUUCGGGGGCCUCGAGUCACAGAUGCUGCAUGGCUGUCGUCAGCUCGUGCCGUGAGGUGUUCGGUUAAGUCCGGCAACGAGCGCAACCCGUAUCGUCAGUUACCAUCGGGUCAUGCCGGGGACUCUGGCGGGACUGCCCGUGUCAAGCGGGAGGAAGGCGCGGAUGACGUCAAGUCAGUAUGGCUCUUACGCCCAGGGCUGCACACGUGCUACAAUGGCCGGUACAGUGGGAAGCGACACCGCGAGGUGGAGCCAAUCCCCAAAACCGGCCCCAGUUCAGAUUGCAGUCUGCAACUCGACUGCAUGAAGUCGGAAUCGCUAGUAAAGGCGUAUCAGCAACGACGCCUUGAAUACGUUCCCGGGCCUU
This 447-nucleotide ribosomal RNA is filed under the name uncultured Victivallaceae bacterium. RNAcentral's name for it is "bacterial SSU rRNA". It matches the Rfam family "Bacterial small subunit ribosomal RNA", at positions 938 to 1382 of the family's 1533-position model. Lineage: Bacteria; Pseudomonadati; Lentisphaerota; Lentisphaeria; Victivallales; Victivallaceae. The record is from RNAcentral.